This is a non-coding RNA of Cinara cedri, 566 nucleotides long. The record is from the annotation of a GenBank genome assembly. Lineage: Eukaryota; Metazoa; Arthropoda; Insecta; Hemiptera; Aphididae.
UUUUAUUUUUAUUUUUUCUGUCCGUAAACAAGUUUUUGAACAGGAAUUAUGAACUGAUCAUCAAAUCCAGAGGUGGUUUCUGGUUGCAAAAUUUGUUUAGUUAGUGUAUUAAAGAGGCCAUUUUUUUUAUUUUUCUUAUAGUUUACUUAACAAUUGAUAAAGAAACCUGGGAAAACCUCGACAAACGGAAACCUGACAUUUUUACUAAAUACAUAUAAUACAUUCUUAACUCUUUCUAUUCAUAAAAAAAAUAUAUAAACCAAUCUGACGAUUUUCAUGCUAUUUUUUUCUGUUAGUAUGCAUUUGUUAUACGACAUCGCAGUCAGAAGCUAUUUAUAUAAAACGGGGCAGAUAUGGGUAACAAAGUGAAAGAAUACCAUAUAACCUACUAUAUUUUGCAAUUAGUAACGCUCGAAAAUAACCGGAAGUCAAUUUAAAUGUAUAAGUUGUUUUGAUAAAAGAACGACAACUUCUUAUCACUCAUAUUUAAAAUAUUUUGAUUUAUUACAGGUCAAACACAUAAAAAUAAUAAUGACUCAGUGAUAACUGAUGUAAAUAAACUUGUU